This is a long non-coding RNA of Zalophus californianus (California sea lion), 2374 nucleotides long. RefSeq lists it as uncharacterized. The record is from RefSeq and is a predicted model, not a curated record. The transcript is spliced from 3 exons. Lineage: Eukaryota; Metazoa; Chordata; Mammalia; Carnivora; Otariidae.
GUGUACUAUUUUGUAUGUAUAUUUGUCUCACAGAAUCUAGAUAAAGGUCAAAUACCAGCAGGAAGGGCAGGGAUGUGAUGGGUCUUGAAUGCAGAGGGACUCAGAGGGCAGCUCCCAAGCUUCGCGACUUGAGGUCUCACUGCGGCUCUUCUCCGAACAUCUAGAGCAAGGGAAUCCUUAGCAAACCACACAGAACAUUUGAGAAAGGUCUGCCGGGGGCCCCUCCGGCUUCAGCUAGGCCUCUCCUGCAGAACUGUAAAUAGGUACCCAGUCAGCAGAAGUGGGACAGCCGCCCAAGGAGGAGGGUUGAGGCGGGGGCAGGCUGGGGAGGCUUGUGCAUCUCUCUCUCCCCAUGGAAGGCACUCCUCGGAAGAUCCUGCGCAGAAGAAGGAGCGAGAGGGGGUGUUAACCUUGACCCUGGGACCCCACCUCACAAGUCAUCUCUUCCAGGCUGGGGGCUCUGGAAGGAGGCAAAGCGAUGGGACCAGGGCGAGGAGCCCUGCUUGGUGGCCCCCAGGAGCUGUCCUGGAGGCACCCUCAGCGAGCUGGGCGGCCUUCCAGUGUCCCAUUGCUCUGUGCCCAAUCUUCCCCCGGUCACCCCUGCCCAGAGUGACCUCUCGCCCCUUGGAAUUUCUCUUUCUUUUUGGCUCUUGGCCCUCCCAGCAGCAGGUCUGGAAAGCCUAAGGUGACGUCUGGCAAGUUACCCAACCUCAGUGUUCUCACCUGUGGAAUGAAGAUCAUCAUCGUAGGUACUUCAAGGGGGUGGUGGGGCGGCUCAGGGGAGAUCAGAGCUUGAGCAACGGCGCAUGCACUCUAAACUCCAGGAUUCAAUCCAGUCUGCUGUGUGCCUCGGGCAAGUUACUUGAGCUUUACUGUCUAUAAGGUGAGAUGAGAAGCGUGGCACCUAUUUCCCAGGACUGCUGGGAGAAUAAGUGAGCGAACGCACGGAGGGCGCUUUGAGUGGUGCCUGGCCCUUACCGCGUGCUAGGUGGGCGCCUGCUGUAGAGAGGGGAGCCCUGUGCUGUGCGCAUGGCAGACCCUCAGGAAAUGAGCCCUGAUGCCCCAACCCCACUCCUUGCUCGGGGUGGGGGGGGGGCCUUCUCUCCCGGUUAGCUUGUGCUCCUGGGUGGGAGGGGCAUGCGGUGGGAGUUUGACACAACUUUGUUGAUUCACCAUCCAGAGAGCUGCCAGAUGCCCCUCUGUGUUUUUCUUACCUUUUUUUUUUUCCCUUUCUGGUGGAAGUGGAGGUUGGGACCGUGUCACAAACUCUGCUGGGAAACCGAUGAAAGCUCUGGACCAUCUCCCCAGAAAGGAGUUAAAAACAACACCUGUUCAGCGUUUGAGGGCGAAGAAGAAAAAGAAGGAGAAGACUCAACUUUGAUAGAGAAACAGAAGGAAUCGUCCUCCAAGCCAAACGCCAUAAUUCACCGCGCUUUUAUUCGCUGAGUGGGACUAAAUGGUAUUUAUGACCCAACAGGCCCUGGACUCACCCCGAGUUGAGUGAUUCAGGAGUUGCCCAAACUCUGGCAGCAGGGAGGAAAGACACGGGAGUAGGGAGAUCAGACAACUUGCAGGGGAGAUUAUAUUGUUCACGAUUGGUGUGAUUUUUUUUUUUUUUUAUCUACUUACAGUAAGUGUAGUUUCGGAAUUUUCGUACAAGUUUCUGGGAAGAUGAUAACCCCAAACAAGAUCUGUUAACUUGAGGUCAGUUGUGGGCUUGGAAUAGGGCUGUAUGCUGUAGGGCCCAAUCAAUUCAUUCAUUCAAGAUUUAUUAGGUGCCUUCCUUACACAUGAGAGUUGUUCUAGGUACUGGAGUAAUGGCAGUGUACAAGGCAACAGAGGUCCCUGUCCUAAUGAAGUUUGCAGCCUUGGCAGGAGAGAUAGAUAACCAAAUAAACGAGCCCAAAGACUUCUGCUGAAAGCUGGAUGGAGUCGGUGAUAUUUCAAGAUGUUAACCUUAAGAAAGGCCAUACUGUUGGUUAUAGACUGAAUGUUUGUGGUUUGUGUCCUCUCAAAAUCCCUUUGUUGAACUUCUAAGCCCCAGUGUGAUGGUAUUCGGAGGUGGGACCUUUGGGAGGUGAUUAGGCCUUUGGGAUGGGAUUAGUGCCCCUCUAAGACUCCCCAGAGAGCUCCCUCACCCUUUCUGCUAUGUGAGGAUGAGGUAAAAGACAGCUGUCUAUGAACCAGGAUGCAGGCUUUCGCCAGAACCUAGCCAAGCUGGUGUCUCGAUCUUGGACCUCCCAGCCUCCAGAACUGUGAGAAAUAAAUUCCCGAUGUUACAAACACCCCCGUCUAUGGUAUUUCUGUUUAAGCAGCCUAAAGGGACUCAGACGCUGAUAGAGGAUAUAUGGGGGACAGAGAAACCAGCAAGCUA